This 1649-nucleotide long non-coding RNA is filed under the name Jatropha curcas. RNAcentral's name for it is "long non-coding RNA (JCUR_LNC002169)". The record is from RNAcentral. Lineage: Eukaryota; Viridiplantae; Streptophyta; Magnoliopsida; Malpighiales; Euphorbiaceae.
AUGGAAGUUCAACACCUUUUGCAAGGAAUGCAACUUUACACGGAUGGAGCAAAGAUGCAGCAGGAAUCUCAUCCUUAUGAAAGGAAUAGAAUACUUCGUUUGGCGCAGCUUCCAAUAGGAUGCCUUUGCCAAGCUUUACUUCAGCAGGUCGAUAGAGCCAAUUAACACACAACUUGUUGUUCUCUUUACCAGUAGUCAGCCACCGAAUUAUUCCAAUGAAAGGUGGGGAAUCCCGGGGGGGUUUGAAAAGAGCACAAUCUCCAAUGCUGAUCUUGCGUCCGUCCUGUUAGAUAAAAGAAAACAGAGAACUUCAGUGAAAUGUUAUACACUUUAUCUGAAAAAAGACAGCUAAAUAAAAUUGCAUUUCUGAAUCAGUGAAUUUGGUCUUGCUGCCCAGGAAACAGCCUGGUUAGAACCAGACUUUGCAUCCAUUUCAGCCUCAACACGCUUCUUCCAUGUGUCGACCAGACUUCUAGCUUUCUUCUGAAUUUCCAAGUUCUUAUGUGUGCGCAGAUGGUUCACUGACUUGCCAAUGUUACACAUUUGUAAGGCGUGAAGAUUUACAGGGAGUUUAUCAAGUGCACGGAGUAAAACUAAAAGAAAUUCCUCUAUAGAUUUUUCACUAUCCUUGGAACCACUGCCAUCCCCAAUCUUCCCUUUAUGCACCUCCUGCAGCCAUUCGUCAAAUACAGGCAAGCCCCUAAGCUGCACAAAUCUAUUAAGGCAAUCAAACUUAUCUGUGCCCGCGACCACACCGGCCAGUACAGACCGACCAGCCAAGUCUAUCUUCUUUUCAUUUUUCUCAGGCAGCAUGAGCUGCACUAAUUUUUCAACACCUUCAGAAUCUACAAGCCCUCCCUUUUCUGUAAAUUUAGCAAUCUCAGACUUCCAAACGCUUUCAGGCCUAGAGUGUCCAGAACCCCCAUCAUCAAUUUUUGAAUAACGCUCUCGUUUAACAGGCUCAGAGCCUUGAUCUCCUCGCUCCCUUUUCUUUCCCUUAACUUGAGAAGGAAAGGAUGAGGCACCAUUGUGUACAUUAUCUGACCCAGGUUUUAGCUGUGAUGUUGAUGUGGGACCAUUCACUGGCUUUGGAGAACGUCCCCCUGGUUGCACAGUUGCAUGCAUUUCUAUGCUUGUCUUAUAUAAUAGCUGAUCUACUUCUUCUUGCCGUUCCUGUGAAAAAGAAAAGAAAUAUCAACUACCACUAAGGAUGGGUAAAACCAUAAGAAGUGUGCCAAAUAGAUAGAUUAACAUGCAAAAAGUGCAAGCAAAACAUACAUUAAUAUAAUCUUGGUCAGUUAGCCACCAUAAACACUUGUUUGUAAUGUCGUAAACUCGCCGGCACACAAAAGAGCAAAUUCCUGAUGGAAGUUCAACACCUUUUGCAAGGAAUGCAACUUUACACGGAUGGAGCAAAGAUGCAGCAGGAAUCUCAUCCUUAUGAAAGGAAUAGAAUACUUCGUUUGGCGCAGCUUCCAAUAGGAUGCCUUUGCCAAGCUUUACUUCAGCAGGUCGAUAGAGCCAAUUAACACACAACUUGUUGUUCUCUUUACCAGUAGUCAGCCACCGAAUUAUUCCAAUGAAAGGUGGGGAAUCCCGGGGGGGUUUGAAAAGAGCACAAUCUCCAAUGCUGAUCUUGCGUCCGUCCU